CCUCACAAAGACCACAGGAGAGGGAAUAUUCUCUGAUUACUAGCUAGCCUUGCAGAACGCCUGUCCAAAGAGGAAUGUUUUAAGGCUAGUUUUACAAUUCACCUUUUUCGGAGAAGUGCAAUUCUGAAAAAAACAGUACCCCACACAUGAACACACAGCAAAAUCUUGCUUCAAAAACCAUUUAAAAAUGUACAAUUUUUACUUUUCUGGUUGUGGUAAUCUCUUAGUUCUGUUUGUUUUUCCUCAUGUUUUCUGUGUGGGUUGGCUGUUGCUUCUCCAGCAGGGCUCCGCCUUCUCUCCAGUGGCUCUCCAUGGAUUGGCACACAGCUGCCUCCACUCUAGAUUCAUUUGUUUGAGCUGUGUUUGAGUGUUUCUGCACUCAGCGUUGGAGUGUUGCUUUAGUUUAGUCCUUGGGUCCGUCACUUCUUGCUCCAUAGUCAUGCUGUUUUGAAAUUUUGCUUUGGGGAUUUUUUCCCACCUAAAGUGGCACUUUUGGUUAAUUCUGGAGCAUCCUGGUUUACCGUAACAGGAAGUGGUGUUCAUACCAUGCACUGAUGCCCACAUGACAUCCUCCCAAUCCUCCUCUGGAUUACCCAGUUGGUCUCCGGCAAACUUAUACAGGUCAUUGACCAGUUCUGGGCUAUUCCCUCCCUGUUCUAAAGAUCACUUGGAUUGCACAGAGUGGAGGGAGAUUGUCAAUCAUCUUGAAUUUAUUAUAUUUUCCAAUAAUUGCCUUUUAUAGAUUGGUUUUCUCCAGUCUUAUGUGAACAAUCACGUCCCUGGUGUCCUUUGACAGCUCUUUGGUCUUAUGGUGGAGAGGUUGCAGUCUGACUGUUAAAGGUGUAGGCAGGUGUCUUUUAUACAAAUAAUCCGUGAAUUUGUGUUUGUUUGUAGGAGCUAAAUACUUCUGCACCAUAGUACAAAUACAUUUUUUAAAAUGAAUUCUUUUUGUAAUUCAUUUUUACAUUCUGUCUCCUACAUUUGAAGUGUAUCUAGGGCCAACAUUACAAAUCUCUCCCAUCUUUUUAAGUGGAUCGACUUGAAGAAUCUGUGAAUGAUACUUUUUUGACCCCACUGUAUUUACUCCCAACAACGGUAGAAACCUACAAUACAUGUAGAAAUAAAGUUAGUAAAGAAAUGUUAUGCUCAACUGAUAAGCCAGUAAAAUGACAAUCUACCCUAGACAUGACCUGUAAACUCUCAUUGUGUUAUAUUCAUAUACACAGGAGAGCAUCGUUAAAUAGCUAAAGAAAAAAAUAAAACUAACAUUUGUUUGGCACAACUGUGGCUCACAAUAUUACCAUAGGAAAUCGCAGAAGUCCUGUUUGGAAUUAAUUUAUUUGACUUGUGUUUGAAGUUGCUCAACAUGCGUAUCACUCAAAACUUUCUUUCCUAAAAAUUCUACAGUUAAAAAUUGCCCUUCUGACACGAAGCCUCGAAUGCAACAACAUCAAGUUUGAUGGAUUUCUGAAUAACAAUCAGAAAGUUCUUGAGCUGAUCCAGAACACUGUUAAGGGAUACAUUACAAAAUGGAAUUAGUUUUUUUUUUAUGAACUGUCUCCCAGUAAAAAUCAGGUUCAAUAUGUUUUUCCUCAAAAGCUUUAAUUGUACCUCUUAAUCUAAAAUGAUUCAUUAAUCUUUAUGUUUUGGAAAUAGAUAAACUUUGCUUUAAAUAGUU
Oryzias melastigma (Indian medaka) is the source of this 1678-nucleotide long non-coding RNA. RefSeq lists it as uncharacterized. The transcript is spliced from 3 exons. NCBI's taxonomy places the organism in Eukaryota, Metazoa, Chordata, Actinopteri, Beloniformes, Adrianichthyidae. The record is from RefSeq and is a predicted model, not a curated record.